UACGUAGGCAGCAAGCGUUGUUCGGAGUUACUGGGCGUAAAGAGUCUGUAGGCGGUGCUCUAAGUUUGGUGUGAAAUCUCCCGGCUUAACCGGGAGGGUGCGCCGAAGACUGGGGUGCUGGAGUCUGGGAGAGGAAAGCGGAAUUCCUGGUGUAGCGGUGAAAUGCGCAGAUAUCAGGAAGAACGCCCGUGGCGAAGGCGGCUCUCUGGAACGCAACUGACGCUGAGACGCGAAAGCGUGGGGAGCAAACAGG
Molecule: ribosomal RNA, 253 nt
Filed under: uncultured bacterium
Lineage: Bacteria
Description: partial 16S ribosomal RNA
Rfam family: Bacterial small subunit ribosomal RNA
Source: RNAcentral